AUUGAACGCUGGCGGCAGGCCUAACACAUGCAAGUCGAACGAGUGGCGGACGGGUGAGUAAUGUCUGGGAAACUGCCCGAUGGAGGGGGAUAACUACUGGAAACGGUAGCUAAUACCGCGUACCAUCGGAUGUGCCCAGAUGGGAGUAGCUUGUAGGUGAGGUAACGGCUCACCUAGGAGACGAGCCCUAGCUGGUCUGAGAGGCUGACCAGACACAGUGGAACUGAGAAACUGUCCAGACUCCGAAGGGAGGCAGCAGUGGGGAAUAUGGAACAAGGGGCGCAAUGCUGAUGCAGCCAUGCCGGGUGUAUGAAGAAGGCCUUCGGGUUGUAAAGUACUUUCAGCGGGGAGGCGUUACCCGCAGAAGAAGCACCGGCUAACUCCGUGCCAGCAGCCGCGGUAAUAC
RNAcentral lists this ribosomal RNA (406 nucleotides) under uncultured bacterium. RNAcentral's name for it is "partial 16S ribosomal RNA". It matches the Rfam family "Bacterial small subunit ribosomal RNA", at positions 29 to 526 of the family's 1533-position model. The record is from RNAcentral.